UACAGAGGGUGCGAGCGUUGUCCGGAAUUACUGGGCGUAAAGGGCGCGUAGGCGGUUCGGUAAGUAGGAGGUGAAAUUUCGGGGCUCAACCCUGAAACUGCCUUCUAAACUGCCGAACUGGAGCACGGUAGAGGCAGAUGGAAUUCCCGGUGUAGCGGUGGAAUGCGUAGAGAUCGGGAAGAACACCAGUGGCGAAGGCGGUCUGCUGGGCCGUUGCUGACGCUGAGGCGCGACAGCGUGGGGAGCAAACAGG
RNAcentral lists this ribosomal RNA (253 nucleotides) under uncultured bacterium. Its description in RNAcentral is "partial 16S ribosomal RNA". It matches the Rfam family "Bacterial small subunit ribosomal RNA", at positions 524 to 776 of the family's 1533-position model. The record is from RNAcentral.